AAGCAGCGCUGGGGGUGCCUCGGUAGGGGCUGAGAGCAGACCCUUGGAACCUGAACCGGUUAGCACCGGCGUAGGGAAGCGCGGAUAGGGGUAG
This 94-nucleotide non-coding RNA is filed under the name Rubrobacter xylanophilus. RNAcentral describes it as "TPP sequence". It matches the Rfam family "TPP riboswitch aptamer (THI element)". From Rfam's summary of the family: Vitamin B(1) in its active form thiamin pyrophosphate (TPP) is an essential coenzyme that is synthesised by coupling of pyrimidine and thiazole moieties in bacteria. The previously detected thiamin-regulatory element, thi box was extended, resulting in a new, highly conserved RNA secondary structure, the THI element, which is widely distributed in eubacteria and also occurs in some archaea. Analysis of operon structures identified a large number of new candidate thiamin-regulated genes, mostly transporters, in various prokaryotic organisms. The record is from RNAcentral. RNAcentral also lists the same sequence under 1 other name. Lineage: Bacteria; Bacillati; Actinomycetota; Rubrobacteria; Rubrobacterales; Rubrobacteraceae.